CGAGGUCAGGGUGAAAGGGUGAGUUUGUUUAUCCCGAGCUCAGCCCUGCUGAGGACCUGGCUGGCUCUGUGUGCUGAGUCACGGCCCGCUGGCCGCCGGCGCUGUCCAAAGCCGGGAACGUUCCUGUCCCAGUUCCCAUCCUCGCAGUCCCGCUGGCCUUGGCGAGUGCUGAGGGCGCACCGUGCUCUGAUUACCGUGAAAACCAACACUUCAGUUACUUCAGUGCGAGAGAACCAAGUUGAAAUACGUGUCUGGGCGGUGGGAAGGAGCCAGCUGAGCUCUAAUCCCGCCCUGAGCCGCAGGGCCGGUUUGCGUGAGCGCUGCUGGGGUCUGUCCUGCCGUGACACCGCAGCGCGGCCGCGGAGCGCUUGUGUAACCGCCCGCUCCCGGCUCCCGGCGCUUACGAAACCCGGCUGCUGUCCUGGGCCAGGGCCACGGCCGGAGCCUCGCUGGGAACCCUGCUGGGAACCUCGCUGGGAACCCUGCUGGGAGCCUCGCUGGGAACCCUGCUGGGGAGCCUCACUGGGAACAUCACUGGGAACCCUGCUAGGAGCCUUGCUGGGAACCCUGCUGGGAACCCUGCUGGGAACCUCAUUGGGAACCCUGCUGGGAACCCUGCUAGGAGCCUCGCUGGGAACCCUGCUGGGAACCUCAUUGGGAACCCUGCUGGGAACCCUGCUAGGAGCCUCGCUGGGAACCCUGCUGGGAACCUCAUUGGGAACCCUGCUGGGAACCCUGCUAGGAGCCUCGCUGGGAACCCUGCUGGGAACCUCAUUGGGAACCCUGCUGGGAACCCUGCUAGGAGCCUCGCUGGGAACCCUGCUGGGAACCUCAUUGGGAACCCUGCUGGGAACCCUGCUAGGAGCCUCGCUGGGAACCCUGCUGGGAACCUCAUUGGGAACCCUGCUGGGAACCCUGCUAGGAGCCUCGCUGGGAACCCUGCUGGGAACCUCAUUGGGAACCCUGCUGGGAACCCUGCUAGGACCUCACUGGGAACCCUGCUGGGAACCCUGCUGGGAGCCUCGCUGGGAACCCUGCUGGGAACCUCACUGGGAACCCUGCUGGGAACCCUGCUGGGGAGCCUCACUGGGAACCCUGCUGGGGAACCUCACUGGGAACCUCACUGGGAGCCCUGCUGGGAACCUCACUGGGAACCUCACCUCACUGGGAGCCCUGCUCUGGGGCUGGGGCUGCCCCUGCCCGGGGCUCCUCCCAGAGCAAGGGUCGCACCGCGGGCUCUCAGCACCUGCAGUUGCUCUGGAAAGAUCAAUCCCGACUUGGCACUUUCAAAGUCACAUUUUGGAAGCAAUUAGCCUGUUUCCUUUAUUUAGGUGA
This 1335-nucleotide long non-coding RNA is filed under the name Ficedula albicollis (Collared flycatcher). Its description in RNAcentral is "lncRNA (ENSFALG00000025204.1)". The record is from RNAcentral. Lineage: Eukaryota; Metazoa; Chordata; Aves; Passeriformes; Muscicapidae.